AUUGAACGCUGGCGGCAGGCUUAACACAUGCAAGUCGAGCGGGGUGAUGGUGCUUGCACUAUCACUUAGCGGCGGACGGGUGAGUAAUGCUUAGGAAUCUGCCUAUUAGUGGGGGACAACAUCUCGAAAGGGGUGCUAAUACCGCAUACGUCCUACGGGAGAAAGCAGGGGAUCACUUGUGACCUUGCGCUAAUAGAUGAGCCUAAGUCGGAUUAGCUAGUUGGUGGGGUAAAGGCCUACCAAGGCGACGAUCUGUAGCGGGUCUGAGAGGAUGAUCCGCCACACUGGGACUGAGACACGGCCCAGACGCCUACGGGAGGCAGCAGUGGGGAAUAUUGGACAAUGGGGGGAACCCUGAUCCAGCCAUGCCGCGUGUGUGAAGAAGGCCUUAUGGUUGUAAAGCACUUUAAGCGAGGAGGAGGCUCUUUUGGUUAAUACCCAAGAUGAGUGGACGUUACUCGCAGAAUAAGCACCGGCUAACUCUGUGCCAGCCGCCGCAGUAA
RNAcentral lists this ribosomal RNA (503 nucleotides) under uncultured bacterium. RNAcentral's name for it is "partial 16S ribosomal RNA". It matches the Rfam family "Bacterial small subunit ribosomal RNA", at positions 30 to 523 of the family's 1533-position model. The record is from RNAcentral.